GACGAACGCUGGCGGCGUGCUUAACACAUGCAAGUCGAACGGAAAGGCCCUGCUUGCAGGGUACUCGAGUGGCGAACGGGUGAGUAACACGUGGGUGAUCUGCCCUGCACUUCGGGAUAAGCCUGGGGAACUGGGUCUAAUACCGGAUAGGAGCCAUUUUGAGUGUGAUGGUUGGAAAGUUUUUUCGGUGUAGGAUGAGCUCGCGGCCUAUCAGCUUGUUGGUGGGGUUAUGGCCUACCAAGGCGGCGACGGGUAGCCGGCCUGAGAGGGUGGACGGCCACAAUGGGACUGAGGAAAGGCCCAGAACCCUACGGGGGGCAGCAGUGGGGAAUAUUGCAAAAUGGGGGCGAGCCUGAUGCAGCGACGCCGCGGGGGGGAUGACGGCCUUCGGGUUGUAAACUCCUUUCGCUAGGGACGAAGCUUUUUGUGACGGUACCUAGAUAAGAAGCACCGGCUAACUACGUG
Molecule: ribosomal RNA, 465 nt
Filed under: uncultured bacterium
Lineage: Bacteria
Description: partial 16S ribosomal RNA
Rfam family: Bacterial small subunit ribosomal RNA
Source: RNAcentral